UCUUUAGCAAAUAUGUUCUGUCAGAAUUUACAUCAGUGAUGAAGACCAGCGGUUAAGAAAGAAUGUAAUCAUUGCAGUGAUUAUGUGAGGUAGAGUUAGAUGUUGCAAGUUCGCUGAGGCCUGGAUACCACUGCAUCAAUGGGAUUUUGUUAGAUUGGUUUGAUCGAUAGGCAGUGCAGCAGCAAGGGUGUGAGUCAUCACAUGGUCACUGGACCAAGGAUCGUAUCUCGGCAGUGGCCUUUUCCUCUCUGCUGUAAGGGAAUUGCUUGUGGACUGUCAUCUUGGCAUCACUCGGGGAACUCAUGGAGGUGUGAAGGUGUACCUGGCAGACGCCCACAACUCCAUCUGUGGAUCUCAUCUGCGAGCUGUGGCACAUAUACUUCCACUGAUAGCACAGACUACACACAGGAACAGACAGAUUGCUCCAGCGGUGCUACCUGAUGUCAGAGUGAGUGUACCUUCCUGUCGGUAUGUAUGCGUGUCUAAACGAAGAGUGGAUGGCUGCUGUGCUCAUGUGUGUGCUGGUGUACUCCACCCAGGUGUUCUCUAAGGAUCUCGUCGUGCAGGCUGACGCACAAAUGACAGAAGACAUGAUCACGUGUUGGACCUGCCCCAACAUGACAUCUAACGGCGAGUGCAAUGGAUGGGCUCCAGAUAUAAAGUGCCCUGCAGCGCAAACAGUAUGCCGGACAGUCCAUCGGUUCGAGUCAGCGACGGGCUCAAGUGUGUUGGUCAACAAGGAGUGUGUGGCACCCUCCCAGUGCAGCAGAAGCCAUGUUGGGUGCCGUGCAACAGAUAGUCAGUCACUCAAAGAGUGUGUAUCCUGCUGCAGAACAUCCUACUGUAACAAGGAGGUAGCAGUGGACAACAAGACUGCCAUGCAGCUGUCUUUAUCUGUACUCAACAUCGCUACCCCUCCAUCCAGCCUGGCCCCUAGCUGUCUCCUACUGCUCAUGAUUCUCCAUUACUGUGUCACGUGAGACACCGCCAUCUCCGAGUUUCAUAUUGGUGCUGUCUCAGUGAGUCCGACUGUGCUGUUGUAUACAGAGGGUUUGCAGACCUCAAGUUGCCCUGUACAGUGAGUCCGACUGUGCUGUUGUAUACAGAGGGUUUGCAGACCUCAAGUUGCCCUGUACAGUGAAUAAACCUCUUGGUAAAACCCAAGCCAAAAAGUUAGUGGUCACAUGUGGAUGUAAUGCAAGAGAUCUCUAGGUCCGGACUGGCCCCAACAUAGAGCUGGGUUGAUGCAUGAUUAGUGUAGAAACAGCUUGUGUUAGCAGUGCAGUGACAGUAUUUAUUGCUGUGGAUUGUCAGUGUAGCUUUGACAAUCCUCAUCUCCAGUCGUGACCAGCAUAUCUGUGAUAAACAAAUACACUAUGUACCAGAAAUCAACCUUCUAGGUUUUGAAGAUCAGACAGUGAGAUCUUUUUCUAUGUGCAAUAUGAUUUCAGUGUUAGUGACAUUUGUGCUAACAGUAUGUGUUGACUGUAACACUCAUAGUUGGUGAUGUGUUGUGUGGUGUACACUGACUACAAUUACUGCUAACAUCCAACAGUCAGUGAAAUGACUUGAGUAGCCACAAAACAAAAUGCAUGGCAGUAAUGUUAGUCAUGUAAAUAAACAUUGACUAUCAAGUCUGUCUGGAGGUUGGCCCUGCAGGUGGUGCUGAUAUGGUGUAACAGAUGUACUGAUAUACCGAUGGUAUAACAGAGGGGAGUACAUAGUUGAGUGUGUACACAGAGGAAGGAGCAGGGACACACCUGGUAACAACAUUGUCAGGUUAAUAUGGAUGUACAUUAAAUGCAACAGUAAACUUCCUUUGCUAUA
This is an RNA transcript of Haliotis rubra (blacklip abalone), 1827 nucleotides long. It is a transcript of the gene named ly6/PLAUR domain-containing protein 6-like, with no coding region annotated. The record is from RefSeq and is a predicted model, not a curated record. The transcript is spliced from 6 exons. Lineage: Eukaryota; Metazoa; Mollusca; Gastropoda; Lepetellida; Haliotidae.